RNAcentral lists this ribosomal RNA (505 nucleotides) under uncultured bacterium. RNAcentral describes it as "partial 16S ribosomal RNA". It matches the Rfam family "Bacterial small subunit ribosomal RNA", at positions 28 to 507 of the family's 1533-position model. The record is from RNAcentral.
GACGAACGCUGGCGGCGUGCCUAAUACAUGCAAGUAGAACGCACAGUUUAUACCGUAGCUUGCUACACCAUAGACUGUGAGUUGCGAACGGGUGAGUAACGCGUAGGUAACCUGCCUGGUAGCGGGGGAUAACUAUUGGAAACGAUAGCUAAUACCGCAUAAUAUUAAUUAUUGCAUGAUAAUUAAUUGAAAGGUGCAAUUGCACCACUACCAGAUGGACCUGCGUUGUAUUAGCUAGUAGGUGAGGUAACGGCUCACCUAGGCGACGAUACAUAGCCGACCGGAGAGGGUGAUCGGCCACACUGGGACUGAGACACGGCCCAGACGCCUACGGGAGGCAGCAGUAGGGAAUCUUCGGCAAUGGACGAAAGUCUGACCGAGCAAAGCCGCGUGAGUGAAGAAGGUUUUCGGAUCGUAAAGCUCUGUUGUAAGGGAAGAACGGGUGUGAGAGUGGAAAGUUCACACUGUGACGGUAUCUUACCAGAAAGGGACGGCUAACUACGUG